Molecule: small RNA, 29 nt
Filed under: Bombyx mori (domestic silkworm)
Lineage: Eukaryota; Metazoa; Arthropoda; Insecta; Lepidoptera; Bombycidae
Description: ovarian small RNA-33148
Source: RNAcentral
UGAUUGUAUAGAGCCUGUGACAAGCCACC